ACUGCCUUUUUGCCCCUUUUGAAGGCAAAAAGAAUCUUUGGUUGUGUUCACUUCUGCCAAGAACAUGGGCAGCAUGCAGUCAGCAGCCUUGGAGGCAAAAUGUACAUUUGGCUGGCCUAUAGUAGGUGCAAAGAAACACUCAUUCUAAAAACAAUUAAAAUGUCAGUUUUGUGUCUGUUUUCAUUUCCCAAGUAAACUGAACAAAAUAACCUAAACGAUGGAAGCCACUGGUGAAACGAAUCCGGAUGGAGCUUAUCAAAUGUGAAUGGUCCAGAGUGUGGAAAACCAGUGCCCUCAGAAAUGAAAGAAAAGGUUCAAUGGCCCUGGUAUGAUGAAUCGCUUCUGGCAAAAUUUAAUUCUAAAGAAAUGGCAAAGAUAAUAACAUACUUUCACGGAAAAAGUUUGUCCUGAAGAAGGGCCUCUCCCCUUUUAACUCUCAAAACAAUUUUAGAACCAAGCAUUAGCUUUAAUCCAGCACUCUGAUCCAGACUGGCACAAAAAGGAAUAAAAGGGCUCAACUAUGAGGAGGCCUGAAAGAGGACAACUGCCCACAGCCCCAUCAAAGGGCUGAUUGAGAAUAAAAAGAAAUUGAAAGGGAAAAGAUAAAGACUCAAGGAACAAAAACUGCCGUGUCAAUCUCAUUCAAAAUCUUUAUUUUUGUCUAAUCACAUUUCUUAGAAAAUAUUUUUUAUCUUCUUUGGUAUUUUUUUAACUUCUCAUUUGAUAAGCUAUUUUUAAAAACACAAUGAAAAUGUUGGCUACAUGUGAGACUCAAGGGAAGAAAGGGUCAGAAAAUAAAGAAGCUG
Molecule: long non-coding RNA, 806 nt
Organism: Panthera uncia (snow leopard)
Lineage: Eukaryota; Metazoa; Chordata; Mammalia; Carnivora; Felidae
Exons: 3
Source: RefSeq, a predicted model, not a curated record